CCGGUUUCGUCAGCGCCGACCUCCUCCCCGGCCCUGACGGACAAGGCCAGCCUUUACCUCCUCCCAGAGGUUGGCCACCGAAACGGCGCCCGUCGGACCUCCUCCCCCGGCGGGCGUUGUAA
Molecule: small RNA, 122 nt
Filed under: Manganibacter manganicus
Lineage: Bacteria; Pseudomonadati; Pseudomonadota; Alphaproteobacteria; Hyphomicrobiales; Phyllobacteriaceae
Description: Pseudaminobacter manganicus Alphaproteobacterial ar14
Rfam family: Alphaproteobacterial ar14
About the family: Smr14C2 was renamed NfeR1 (Nodule Formation Efficiency RNA) highly expressed in salt stress and during the symbiotic interaction on legume roots.
Source: Rfam by way of RNAcentral